RNAcentral lists this ribosomal RNA (746 nucleotides) under uncultured Finegoldia sp. RNAcentral describes it as "bacterial SSU rRNA". It matches the Rfam family "Bacterial small subunit ribosomal RNA", at positions 28 to 776 of the family's 1533-position model. The record is from RNAcentral. Lineage: Bacteria; Bacillati; Bacillota; Tissierellia; Tissierellales; Peptoniphilaceae.
GACGAACGCUGGCGGCGUGCUUAACACAUGCAAGUCGAACGGGAUUUAGUAGACAGAAACCUCGGUGGAAGAUUACUAAUGAGAGUGGCGAACGGGUGAGUAACGCGUGAGCAACCUGCCUAUGACAGUGGGAUAGCCUCGGGAAACCGGGAUUAAUACCGCAUAAAAUCGUAGAAACACAUGUUUCAACGGUCAAAGAUUUAUCGGUCAUAGAUGGGCUCGCGUCUGAUUAGCUAGUUGGUGAGAUAACAGCCCACCAAGGCGACGAUCAGUAGCCGGUCUGAGAGGAUGAACGGCCACAUUGGAACUGAGACACGGUCCAAACUCCUACGGGAGGCAGCAGUGGGGAAUAUUGCACAAUGGGGGAAACCCUGAUGCAGCGACGCCGCGUGAACGAAGAAGGUAUUCGUAUCGUAAAGUUCUGUCCUAUGGGAAGAUAAUGACAGUACCAUAGAAGAAAGCUCCGGCUAAAUACGUGCCAGCAGCCACGGUAAUACGUAUGGAGCGAGCGUUGUCCGGAAUUAUUGGGCGUAAAGGGUACGCAGGCGGUUUAAUAAGUCGAAUGUUAAAGAUCGGGGCUCAACCCCGUAAAGCAUUGGAAACUGAUAAACUUGAGUAGUGGAGAGGAAAGUGGAAUUCCUAGUGUAGUGGUGAAAUACGUAGAUAUUAGGAGGAAUACCAGUAGCGAAGGCGACUUUCUGGACACAAACUGACGCUGAGGUACGAAAGCGUGGGGAGCAAACAGG